GAGGGCAGCACUGGAUCUUGGGCUGUGUCCCCCGGCACCCUGGGCUCUAGGCCCUGCGCCGUUGGAAUCGCGCCCCCAGGGCUGUGCAGCCCCCU
RNAcentral lists this microRNA precursor (95 nucleotides) under Canis lupus familiaris (dog). RNAcentral describes it as "mir-8799 microRNA precursor family". It matches the Rfam family "mir-8799 microRNA precursor family". RNAcentral also lists the same sequence under 1 other name. Lineage: Eukaryota; Metazoa; Chordata; Mammalia; Carnivora; Canidae. The record is from Rfam by way of RNAcentral.